GGAGAUGGCUGAGCAGGUAGAGUGCAGGACUUGCACUCCUGAGGUCCCAGGUUCAAUACCUGGCACCA
Molecule: transfer RNA, 68 nt
Filed under: Erinaceus europaeus (western European hedgehog)
Lineage: Eukaryota; Metazoa; Chordata; Mammalia; Eulipotyphla; Erinaceidae
Rfam family: tRNA
About the family: Transfer RNA (tRNA) molecules are approximately 80 nucleotides in length. Their secondary structure includes four short double-helical elements and three loops (D, anti-codon, and T loops). Further hydrogen bonds mediate the characteristic L-shaped molecular structure. tRNAs have two regions of fundamental functional importance: the anti-codon, which is responsible for specific mRNA codon recognition, and the 3' end, to which the tRNAs corresponding amino acid is attached (by aminoacyl-tRNA synthetases). tRNAs cope with the degeneracy of the genetic code in two manners: having more than one tRNA (with a specific anti-codon) for a particular amino acid; and 'wobble' base-pairing, i.e. permitting non-standard base-pairing at the 3rd anti-codon position.
Source: Rfam by way of RNAcentral